AGAGGAAGUAAAAGUCGUAACAAGGUUUCCGUAGGUGAACCUGCGGAAGGAUCAUUACGAAAUUCGGCGCGCUUCGGCGCUGCCUUAUUCACCCACCCUUUGUCUACGUGUACCUCUAUAGCUUCCUCGGCGGGCUCGCCCGCCGCCAGGAACCCACGAAACCCCUUGCAUUAUACACGAAAACUUCUGAUAACAAACCUAAAUUAUUACAACUUUCAACAAUGGAUCUCUUGGUUCUGGCAUCGAUGAAGAACGCAGCGAAAUGCGAUAAGUAGUGUGAAUUGCAGAAUUCAGUGAAUCAUCGAAUCUUUGAACGCACAUUGCGGCCAUAGGUAUUCCUUUGGCCAUGCCUGUUCGAGCGUCAUUUACACCCUCAAGCCUAGCUUGGUGUUGGGCGUCUGUCCCGCCGUUUUCGCGCGCGGACUCGCCUCAAAGUCAUUGGCGGCGGUCGUGCCGGCUCCUCGCGCAGCACAUUUGCGCUUCUCGGAGGCCCGGCGGAUCCGCGCUCCAGCAAAGA
Molecule: ribosomal RNA, 517 nt
Filed under: Periconia sp. L12
Lineage: Eukaryota; Fungi; Ascomycota; Dothideomycetes; Pleosporales; Periconiaceae
Description: eukaryotic LSU rRNA
Rfam family: 5.8S ribosomal RNA (bases 211-364)
Source: RNAcentral